CCUACGGGAGGCAGCAGUAAGGAAUAUUGGUCAAUGGAGGCAACUCUGAACCAGCCAUGCCGCGUGCAGGAUGACGGCCCUAUGGGUUGUAAACUGCUUUUAUACAAGAGAAAACCCUGGUACGUGUACCAGGUUGAUAGUAUUGUAAGAAUAAGCAUCGGCUAACUUCGUGCCAGCAGCCGCGGUAAGACGAAGGAUGCAAGCGUUAUCCGGAUUCAUUGGGUUUAAAGGGUGCGUAGGCGGACUGAUAAGUCAGUGGUGAAAUCUCUUUGCUUAACAAAGAAACUGCCAUUGAUACUGUCGGUCUAGAGUAUAGAUGACGUUGGCGGAAUAUGACAUGUAGUGGUGAAAUACUUAGAUAUGUCAUAGAACACCGAUUGCGAAGGCAGCUAACGAAACUAUAACUGACGCUGAGGCACGAAAGUGCGGGGAUCAAACAGGAUUAGAUACCCUGGUAGUCCGCACCGUAAACGAUGAUUACUCGUUGUUGGCGAUAUGACAGUCAGCGACCAAGCGAAAGCGAUAAGAAUCCACCUGGGGAGUCGCCGGCAACGGUUGAAACUCAAAAGAGUAGUACGGACGAGAGAGAGCGACGGACGACGACGACGGAGGGAGGNG
This 618-nucleotide ribosomal RNA is filed under the name uncultured bacterium. Its description in RNAcentral is "bacterial SSU rRNA". It matches the Rfam family "Bacterial small subunit ribosomal RNA", at positions 338 to 958 of the family's 1533-position model. The record is from RNAcentral.